Mollisia scopiformis is the source of this 148-nucleotide non-coding RNA. The record is from the annotation of a RefSeq genome assembly. Lineage: Eukaryota; Fungi; Ascomycota; Leotiomycetes; Helotiales; Mollisiaceae.
GCUCACAUGGUCGAGUGGUUACGACGCCAAUACUCUGUUGCUUUCUUGACUUCUUGGAUAAUACAGUUUGCUCCGGUGAUUUGGAUAUUCUGAGCCGGUUUUUGGGCGCGUUUAAGUGGAGACUCAGGUUCGAUUCCUGAUGAGAGCA